This is a long non-coding RNA of Rosa chinensis, 710 nucleotides long. RefSeq lists it as uncharacterized. The transcript has 5 exons. The record is from RefSeq and is a predicted model, not a curated record. Lineage: Eukaryota; Viridiplantae; Streptophyta; Magnoliopsida; Rosales; Rosaceae.
ACAAGAGAGAACUGCCAGGAAGCACGAUCUCAACACAGACGUGGGAGUACAUAUGGCUCCAUCAAUACUUAUCCCUAACUCAAUUUACGAUUCAUACAGAGACGAGCAGAGCAAAAUCAAAUAGGAGGAGAAAAUUAUUAUCAAGUCGGCUGACAAUUUUGCAGAUUCACUUGAGCCAGGUACACAGCGACGACGAUACUGGCAUUGACGCAAGAAGUGGCGCACUUCUUCAAAACAAAGGUAUCUUGAACAAAUGACUAAUUUCUUUUGUUCCUGAUUGGAAUAUUGUCUCAAGAAUACAAACACGGCAAAGAGAACAGAUGCAGGACUUUGGAAUAUGAAGUUGCUAAUUCUUUGAUUUUAUAUCAUCCACAUGUCUACAAGAGGUAAGGUCAUUCUGUUCAGUUCAUGAAUUGCUUAAUUUGAUGCUCAUUACGCUUUCUUUUCUUUUAUCCUUCUCACUCAUUAUGCAUUCUGUUCUGUUCAGUACAAUAAACUAUACUAAUUGUUUCCCUAUGCGAAAUUGGGAAUUUGGAGCAUGCAGGUAAUUCUCUAACUUUUGUUUUAGAUGAAUUGCAGUGAUGUUAUUGUACUGUUUGGUCUCAGACCCUUGAUCUACAAUUUUAUAAUGCUUAUAUACUUUAUAGCUUAUACUCCUUUCAAAUUUUGGGUAGUGUGGAACUGUGGAUUUCCAUCGUGUUUCUUUGCCA